Molecule: long non-coding RNA, 1011 nt
Organism: Drosophila nasuta
Lineage: Eukaryota; Metazoa; Arthropoda; Insecta; Diptera; Drosophilidae
Exons: 4
Source: RefSeq, a predicted model, not a curated record
AUACCUUUGCAAACAUAAUCUUAGUAAGGUUAUCUAGCCGAUUGUAUAGUCUAGAUGUAUAGUCUAGAGAGUGCAGAGCUCAGAUUCAGUUCAAAUAAAACUACUUAAGUAAAAUGCUCCUCAAUUUCUCAAUUCUUCCCGGACAAACAUUAUCCAGUUGAAUCGAACCCUAAUCCGAAUCCGAAUCGAAUGACUAAAGAUAAUAGUCGCCCAUAAGAAGAAUGAACUGAAGAUGUUGCUGCUGUCAUAAAUGACUAUGAGCAUCGUCGAUUAGAAGAAUGUACUGAAGAUGACUAUUCGUUUCUUACUUCCGUCGAACUGGGGUCACACUACAAAUCAGCAUUUCGGCUAUGAUGGCGAUUGCAAACGCUUUCAGCUCUCGUGGAUCGGUGUUAGUGUCGGAAUUCAGUCCAGCGGCUGCGAAAGCCGCCCUGAUGACACGAUGAUGUACCGCUGAAUGCCCAUGGUGCCCUGCAUCUGGAGUAUGAUUUCGUUUCUUCUAAAUUAUUGAGUAAGGUUAUCUAGACGAUUGUAUAGUCUAGAGAGUCCAGAGCUCAGAGUCAGUUCAAAUAAACUAUUUAACUAAAAUGCUCGUCAAUUUCUCAAUUCUUCCCGGACAAGCAUCAUCCAGUUGAAUCGAACCCUAAUCCGAAUCAGCAUCAAUAGAACCCAUAAAUUGGUUUCUCAUGGAGUCUUUUCGUAAAGAGUCGGGAAAAGACACUUAUUUGCAGACAACGAGAAACGGUCAACAGUUAUUUGCGAGCUCUGAUUUUGAUUUGAAUAGAAAUUGAGCUUAAUCAGAAAGAUUUGGCAUUGUUCUUAACACGAAUUGGCAAGCAUCGAAAAUUGCAUCAAACACACCUGCCCUUUUACAAGAGUAAAUAGCGUCUCCAAUUUUUUCUAUGUUGUGUAUUAUGUCCAUUGUAUUAGUUUAGGUAUUAGGUUUUUAUUUUAGAAUAAUGAAUGAAUGUGAAUGUUUUUCUAGAAUAAACAAUCGUCUAUAUAACCUUA